This 77-nucleotide transfer RNA is filed under the name Brucella ovis ATCC 25840. RNAcentral describes it as "tRNA-Thr". It matches the Rfam family "tRNA". Rfam says of the family: Transfer RNA (tRNA) molecules are approximately 80 nucleotides in length. Lineage: Bacteria; Pseudomonadati; Pseudomonadota; Alphaproteobacteria; Hyphomicrobiales; Brucellaceae. The record is from RNAcentral.
UGCUGCGGUAGCUCAGUGGUAGAGCACUCCCUUGGUAAGGGAGAGGUCGAGAGUUCAAUCCUCUCUCGCAGCACCAU